AACUCGAUCUCGGUCGAGAAGCAUGGGUGUGACAGUACUACAUCUUUUAUAAUAAUUCUUAUUCUAAGCGAAUAAGUAAAUAAUAUAUAAGACAAACAACACGUAGUCUGCCAUACGCAGGAAGACCCGCUGAACUGAAGCAUCUCAUUAAGCGG
Molecule: ribosomal RNA, 155 nt
Filed under: Trichomonas vaginalis G3
Lineage: Eukaryota; Parabasalia; Trichomonadida; Trichomonadidae
Description: 5.8S ribosomal RNA
Source: RNAcentral